CCCUUAGAUGUUCUGGGCCGCACGCGCGCUACACUGACGAAUGCAACGAGCUUAUAACCUUGGCCGAAAGGUCUGGGUAAUCUCCAAAUUUCGUCGUGAUGGGGAUAGAUUAUUGCAAUUAUUAAUCUUCAACGAGGAAUGCCUAGUAAGCGCAAGUCAUCAGCUUGCGUUGAUUACGUCCCUGCCCUUUGUACACACCGCCCGUCGCUCCUACCGAUUGAAUGGUCCGGUGAAGCGUUCGGACCGUGGCCUUUGGACGGUUCGCCGUCUGUUGGCUGCGGGAAGUUCGUUAAACCUUAUCAUGUAGAGGAAGGAGAANUCGUANCA
This 327-nucleotide ribosomal RNA is filed under the name uncultured eukaryote. RNAcentral's name for it is "partial 18S ribosomal RNA". It matches the Rfam family "Eukaryotic small subunit ribosomal RNA", at positions 1470 to 1796 of the family's 1831-position model. The record is from RNAcentral.